GACGAACGCUGGCGGCGUGCUUAACACAUGCAAGUCGAACGGAAAGGCCCUGCUUUUGUGGGGUGCUCGAGUGGCGAACGGGUGAGUAACACGUGAGUAACCUGCCCUUGACUUUGGGAUAACUUCAGGAAACUGGGGCUAAUACCGGAUAGGAGCUCCUGCUGCAUGGUGGGGGUUGGAAAGUUUCGGCGGUUGGGGAUGGACUCGCGGCUUAUCAGCUUGUUGGUGGGGUAGUGGCUUACCAAGGCUUUGACGGGUAGCCGGCCUGAGAGGGUGACCGGCCACAUUGGGACGGAGAUACGGCCCAGACUCCUACGGGAGGCAGCAGGGGGGAAUAUUGCACAAUGGGCGGAAGCCUGAUGCAGCAACGCCGCGUGCGGGAUGACGGCCUUCGGGUUGUAAACCGCUUUCGCCUGUGACGAAGCGUGAGUGACGGUAAUGGGUAAAGAAGCACCGGCGAACUACGU
This 467-nucleotide ribosomal RNA is filed under the name uncultured bacterium. RNAcentral describes it as "partial 16S ribosomal RNA". It matches the Rfam family "Bacterial small subunit ribosomal RNA", at positions 28 to 506 of the family's 1533-position model. The record is from RNAcentral.